UCACAGCCUUUUUAAUGGGCAUUGGUUUUGAGUUUGAGAGCCUUAGGUCCUGGUUUUCUACGCAGGUGGCUGGGCCUUACCCUUCCCAGGAGCUCUGGCUCAGUCGUCUGGGGUGGAGUCUGAGAAUUCGCAUUUCUAACAAGCUCCAGGUGAAUUUGUGCUGUGGCUGCUGGGCUCAUGGCUGCACCUUCUCCUUGAAACCCAAUUCAAGGACGGCCAGAUUGAUGCUUCCCAGACCUGCGUCCUUCUUGGUUACCAAAUGGUCACAUCCCUGAGCCUUCAGCUGCAGAAACUGCACAAGUGGUGUUGUGCUCCAAGGACCUGUGGUUGGUCUAAAGUUAGAAGUCAAGAAAGAAGUGGCUACGUGCAUCGCCCUGAGUCAUGGAACGCAUACAGAGAGAAGUAUGUGAAGUAGUUGGUCCUCCGUGAAGCUGAGGUGAAAAGGAAGUAGAGCAGGAGUACAGUUUCCUUCAGAGCGCUUCCAUCCUGUCUGGUUGCAAAGCACCUUCCUGGAUUGCCUUGAUAUAUUCAAAGGAUCUCCCACUGAACCUCCAUUUGGCUAGACUGCGUGGCUGGACAGUCCCCCUCAGAGCUGUCUCUGCCUCGACACCUGAGAUCACAGGAAAAUGGAAAUAAAACCAAAACACUUUUCAGGGCCAGUGAGCUGGCUCAGCAGGUAAAUGCACGUGGAGCACAAGCCUGGUGACCUAAAUUCAACGCUCAGAACCCACGAUGGAAGGAGAGAACUCUCUACUGGAAAAGGUCCUCUGCAAGUGUGCACACACACUCUCUCACCAUACACAUCAUAGAACACCCCCUCCCCCGGCAAAAAAGAUAUUGUGUCAAGGGUUCAGAAUUGUGCCCUCACUGAAAUGGUUUGGUCAAGGCUUAGCUCACCUUUUCUGAGUGACCUUUCUUGACCUCAGCCCGAUGCCAGGCUAGAAUAUUUUUCUGCUCCGCUGCCUCAACACACAUUACACUGUGCCUCACCUGUUGGUCCACCCCAUCUGAAAAUGGUCCCAGAAGCACCUUCGUCACAUGAGGAUGCCUGGAAUUCUCAUUGGCAACAGUCGCCCCUGCAAUUCUUGGGACUCGUUACCAUUCUGGUGCAGGAGCUCAAAACUAAGGCAGGGUCUGACUCCUGGCAAUGGUCAGAGGAACACCUCCCUGCUAUCCUAGGUGACACUUCUAGGCCUGGCUGUGCCACUACCAAACACUGGCCACCCAACCCAUCACACACAGUCCCACUCUGUGCAGGCCCAUGCUGGGCACACAUUCUUGACUGAGUUGGCCCAUGCCUUUCUUCUGAGGCUGAUGACCCACACAAGGCUUACCAGGGAGCUGGAAGAAGGGGAAGUUCCCAUCAAACAGAAUCCCUAAAAUAGCCAGUCACCCACAAAACCAUGAUAGAAGGGAAAGAAAAGCCAACUAGAUAUCAGCCCUUGUUUGGAAUGCGAUGUAGAAGGAAAGCUAUGUGCCAGCCCCACCCUGGCUAGAAAGUGGUCCAGGGAGAGGAUGCCAGGCCCAAGGAGUCAUGGGGGAAACCUGUCCUUCAGAGAGAAGCCACUGGGACAAGGGCUGGCCUUACAGAGGCCAGGUUUGCUGGUCAGGGGCCAGUAGCCUGCAGGGUUUGGUCCUCCUUCCAACUACCCCCAUGAGUCAGUUCCAGGCCAGCAGGCUUGAGGGUGGGGGGUCAGAGGCCCUGCUGGAUUUCAUCCUGGGCUGCAAGGAAAAGCUUUUUGGCCUUUCUGGUCUCUGAUGAACAAGCCAGGAGAUCUAAAAGCCAUCCAUCAGAGCCGCUGGCUUUCUUUACGAUAACCAAUCGCUCUCUGCCAGAAAUUCUUUUGGUAAGAACACUGACUUUCAGAGCCUUGGCUCCUCCUUAGCUCCCCCAGCAGCAGUGCUGUCUGGCCUGUGCUGAUGGCUAGACCACCAUGGGGCACAGUUCAGGGUCCAGAGGGUGGAGAGCCAGGUGCCCCUGCCCCUCCAGCACAGCUGGAGCUGGGCCUAGGUGUAUUUUCCAUAUAAAUACAUAUAUCUGCUCCCGA
This is a long non-coding RNA of Mesocricetus auratus (golden hamster), 2048 nucleotides long. RefSeq lists it as uncharacterized. Lineage: Eukaryota; Metazoa; Chordata; Mammalia; Rodentia; Cricetidae. The record is from RefSeq and is a predicted model, not a curated record. The transcript has 4 exons.